This 254-nucleotide ribosomal RNA is filed under the name uncultured microorganism. RNAcentral's name for it is "partial 16S ribosomal RNA". It matches the Rfam family "Archaeal small subunit ribosomal RNA", at positions 474 to 727 of the family's 1478-position model. The record is from RNAcentral.
CACCGGCGGCUCGAGUGGUGGCCACUUUUAUUGGGUCUAAAGCGUCCGUAGCCGGCUUGGCAAGUCCCCUGGGAAAUCUGGCGGCUUAACCGUCAGGCGUCCAGAGGAUACUGCCAGGCUUGGGACCGGGAGAGGUGAGAGGUACCUCAGGGGUAGGGAUGAAAUCUUGUGAUCCCUGAGGGACCACCAGUGGCGAAGGCGUCUCACUAGAACGGGUCCGACGGUCAGGGACGAAAGCUGGGGGCACGAACCGG